UUGUUGGCACUACUGAAGCUGCUCUCGCAAAACUGAAAUAGCAAUACGUAUUUUUUGCAGCAAAACAAUAAACUUGAUACUUAGAGCAAAAGAACAUGUAUAUACAGAGGAAAUACAUCCAGGAUGUUCAUGUUAAUUUUGCAUAGAAUCACAUAAUGAGAGCCAAAUGUUGGAAAAAACCUUCAGACUAGAAAUAUGAACAACCCUUAGUAGAGAUGUAUUACGAAAUGGAGAACAGUAACAUUACAUGGAAUGCAGCUUUCAAUCUGUAGGUUGUUCCCCCGAGGAAGAUACCUUUCACAGCCUUAGCUCUUCACAAGUGCUCUCUCAUAUUGUGGUUAAUUGCUCUGGCUUCUUGCAACUGAUCCUCAGAUGAGUCCUUUCUCCACCAGCUUCUGCUACAUCAGCUGAAACCCAAGUCAGUGACUAUGCCAAGACAGAGGUGGCAUUUAUACAAGGAGUACUAACAGACGAGGGUAAUUUACUGGGCACUGAGAUCUGCUGGCAUGGCACGACUGAUGUCCAAACCUCCAAUCUCAACCUUCAGUCCAGAGGGCUGCAUACAAGCUGUGCGUUGGGAAUGUUCCCUGGAGCACACUGACUGGUAAACCAUGCCUAAAUCCAUGGAAACUGAUAGCUUAAAACUGAAUAAAUUUCUUAAUGAUAAUGUGUAGUGGGCUGACCCUGGCCAGAUGCCAGGUACCCACUAAAGCCGCUUUCUCCCUCUCCCUCUGCAAAUAGAUAGAGGAGAGGAAAAAAAACAGCUAAGAAUUCAUGAGUUGAGCUAACAGCUGGGAGAAGUCACUUAGUGAUUACCUUCAUGGGCAAAACAGACUCAAAGUGGGGAUAUUACUUAAAUUUAUUACUAACAGGAUAAGAGCCAAAGAAUGAGAAAUAAAACAAUCUAAAAAACACCUUCCCCCCACCCUCCUUCCUUCCAUGUUCUCCUUCCUCCCCCCCAGCGGUGCAGGGGGAUGGGGAAUGGGAGUUAUGGUCAGUUGUUAUUUCUGCUGCUGCUCGGGGAGAAGAGUCCUUCCCUGCUCCUGUGGGGUCCUUUCCACAGGAGACAGUCCUUGAUGGACCUCUCUGGUGUGACUCCAUCCCCCGGGCAACAGUUCUUCCCAACUUGCUGUCCCGUGGGUCACUCCUCCAUGGGGUGCAGUCCUUCACAGAUGAGCUGUACUGGUGUGGGUCCCCCACAGGGGCCACAAGUCCUACCCGGGAAAAACCUGCUCCAGCGCGGACUUCCCUCUGCACGGGCCGCAGGUCUCCAGCAGGACCCUGCUCCAUCCUGGGCCUCCCACAGGGUCACAGCCUCCUUCGUGCAUCCACCUGCUCUGGCAUAGGCUUUUCUAUGGGUUGCAGGUGGGUCUCUGCACCCCGAUGGUCCUCCAUGGGCUGCAGGGGCACAGCUGCUCCACCAUGGGCUGCACCACGGGCUGCAGGGGCCUCAGCUCCGGUGCCUGGAGCACCUCCUGUCCCUCCUUCUGUGCUGACCUUGGUGUCUACAUUGUUAUUCCCAUGUUCUUACUCCGCUCUUCCCUGGCUGGAAUUCUUUCUGUGCCACAACCUUCUGUUCUUAAAUAUGUUAUCACAGAGGUGUUACUAUCACUCCUGAUUGGCUUGGCUUUGGCCAGCGACAGGAAGUCCGUUCUGGAGCCGGCUGGCAUUGGCUCCGCGGGACAGGGGAAGCUGCUAGAAGCUUUCAGCAGAAGCCACUCCUGUAGCCCCCCCGCUACCAAAACCCAGCCACAGAAACGCACUACAUAAUGAUAAUUUACUGAAGGGUUUGAGUGAUUUUAAUUAAGGACAUUAUAUUGUUGUUCCGAUAAAUAAACCUUUGAUAUUAUGCUGGAUUGAGGAAGAUAAAUUUUCUCCAGAUUUCAUGAUCUAUCUUGACAUUGUCUUUCUGAUAAGAACGUGAAGUUGAAACACUAGCAUUUAAAUUAAAAAUUGCUGCUCCUGAGUUGUACUAGUAUAUGAAAUAAAGAUUCAUUUCACAUGUAGCUGCAAGCAAGCUGUGCUUUCUGCUAUUACUGUGAUUAUAUUAUGAUGGACAUUAGGACUGGAAGGGAUGUUGAGAGGUUUUCUUGUUCUUCCUCUGACCAACAAGGGGAAACAAUGGCAAAGUAUUUCCAGUGAUGGAGAGUUUCUGAUCUCCCCAAGUACAUAUUCCAGCACUUAACAGUUUCCACCGGAAAAUAUUUUCCUAAAUUUCUUUUGCUUCACUUUAAAUCCUCUGUGAUACAAAGAAAAAAAUAAAUCUAAGUAGUCUUUCACACCUAAUCUGCUCAUUUUAAUUGUUUUUUUACUCAUGUAUAGUACAUGAGAAUGUUUAUGCAGUCAACCGUUCCUACAUAAGGCUAUUGAGCUGUUAUUUAUUUCAGACAAUUUCUGUAAUUGUUUUAAUUCUUCGAAAUUCUCCUCACUCAGGAGAGAAUGCUUGCAAAUGUAAUAAGUAAACCCACUAUUCUCUCCCAAGGCAGACAUGACUGUGACAUGGAGCUACCCUUAGUAUAGACCCUUUAGAGACUCUUUCAACACACCCUUCUACUUAUGCAAUGAUAAAAAAAAUUUUGACUUAUAUUUGAGUGCAAUUUUGAAAUCACUGAGUGUGUACUUUAGGCUAGUUUCUUCUAGAGCAUGUUUUUGUAAUUUGAAUAGUCAGUCAUGCCACAACUCUCAUGUUGCAUAUUCAAAGCCCUUUGUUACUAAAGCUGAGGGUGGGAUCAGGAUGUGCAGGACAGUAACUAUCACUGGGAAAACUUCACAGCACUUGGAAUGAGAUGGAACUGCAAUGUUGAAUAUUGUUUCUCAACCUCACAUCUGAAGAUGGCCGAUUUUAUCCUGAUCUGAGUGUUGGAUGGCUGGAUGUAUGAUACAGGAAAGCAGGUUUCUCAGAGGAGAGGAAGCCUUCCUGAAGAGACAUGGGACGUGGAAAAGGGAAGAAAUUGAGGGAAGAGAACACUUGAGAAGUUAGGAUCGCUGGUGAUGGCAAAAAGGCACAAAAAAAGAGUUAACAGUGUUUCAGCUGGUAUACCUUGUCCUGUUUGCUCUACCUGUUUUGCUAGAAAAACAUUUUAGGAACACUGGUUAAUAUCAUGUUCUGUUCUGCUCACUGGACCAAAGUCCUUAUUAUAGAAAGAAUAGGAGUAGUAUACACAAGGUAAUAAAUUAGGUAAACUAGACUUUUGAAUGAGAUAUAGAAGGCCCAGAGCCAGGAUUUUGCAAGCUUGAAGAAUUCAGGUCACCUAAUUUGAAGAGGUCAAAUAGAGGAAGACGUCCGUGGUGACCACCAGAGGGAUGAAGGCUUGAAGAGAAGACCCCCCCAGAAGAAGACUGCACAUGUCUGUAAAGACUCCACCCAGAGACUAGCCUACUUUUUAAUAUGUAUGUUAGAUGAUGUAACCAUUCAUCUAAAGUGUAUAAAAUGGCUUGAUUUUGCACUUUCAAGUUGAGCAAGUUUGUCCAGCACAAGCUGGCUUGCUCCCAACAUUGAAUAAACAAAUACCUUGCUGCUUAAA
This is a long non-coding RNA of Pseudopipra pipra, 3524 nucleotides long. RefSeq lists it as uncharacterized. The transcript is spliced from 4 exons. The record is from RefSeq and is a predicted model, not a curated record. Lineage: Eukaryota; Metazoa; Chordata; Aves; Passeriformes; Pipridae.